Molecule: non-coding RNA, 709 nt
Organism: Paramuricea clavata
Lineage: Eukaryota; Metazoa; Cnidaria; Anthozoa; Malacalcyonacea; Plexauridae
Source: the annotation of a GenBank genome assembly
GGUGUCUUAUUUGGAUGUGCGGGUGGAAUUGGAGUCUGGUAAAUUGCAAACGGAUGUGUAUUCAAAACCGACUGAUACACAUCAAUACUUAGACUUCAAGUCUUGUCAUCCUGCACAUGUGAAGAAGGCAAUCCCCUAUGGUCAGGCGCUAAGAUUAAAACGGAUUUGUAGUUCGGAAAAAGUUUUUCAGGAUAGGCUUAAAGAAAUGGAAGGUCAUUUUAUAAAGCGAGGAUUUAACAAAAAGUUGGUUAAGGACCAGUUUUCUGAGGUUAAAGUUAAGGAUAGGGCUGAAAUGUUACGCCAAACGGAUAAGAGGAAGAAUUCUAACUUGAGUAAUAGAGUACCACUGGUAGUAGAAUUUCAUCCGGCAUUAAAGGAAAUUAAUGGAAUUGUGGAAACACUUUGGCCGAUUCUGGAGACAUCGGAGAGGAUGAGGGAUGUCUUCGGUAGUAGGCCGAUUGUUUCAUAUAAGAGACCAAAAAAUUUAAAAGAUAGUUUGGUUAGAUCUAAGGUUAAAAAGGCUAGGGAGGUAAGUGUAGGGAUGAGUAAGUGUAAUAAGAAUCGUUGCCAGAUUUGUAAUUAUGUAGAUGAGGGAAAAGAAUUUCUCGAGGGAAAAGUAAAAUACUACAUUAAUUACAACUUUGAUUGCGAUUCGGCUGGGGUGAUUUAUUUGAUUUAUUGUAGAAAAUGUGGGAAAAAGUAUGUGGGG